CCUCCUUUAAAGAAGCAAGACGUGACGGCGUAUGAAGCGUCCUCACAAUCUGUCUGGUCGCAAUGUUGGGAAACCGCGGGUCUGUAGCUCAGUUGGUUAGAGCGCACCCCUGAUAAGGGUGAGGUCGGAAGUUCAACUCUUCCCAGACCCACCACUUCUAAAGUUGUCUGGAAGUUGUCACAGGGGGCCAUAGCUCAGCCGGGAGAGCGCCUGCUUUGCAAGCAGGAGGUCGGCGGUUCGAUCCCGCCUGGCUCCACCAGGUGAUAAUCCACAGCGAUCCUUAGGUGCGUUGUGGAUUAUUCCUUGGCACCAAGCUCAGGAAAUGUUCUUUAACAAUUAGGCAGUGAUAUACGACGGUGAAGCCAGGUCGUAGUAAUCGAUCGGGCUUUACUGGGUAUACCAGCAUUUUUAUUGAAGUAAUUUAUUGGUGUAAUUCCCAAGAAAAGCAGUCUUCUUGGGGUUAUAUGAUCAAGCGACCAAGCGCACAUGGUGGAUGCCUUGGCGGCAAGAGGCGAUUAAGGACA
This 524-nucleotide transfer RNA is filed under the name uncultured Thiotrichales bacterium. Its description in RNAcentral is "partial 16S-23S ribosomal RNA intergenic spacer". The stretch from base 78 to 151 matches the Rfam family "tRNA". The record is from RNAcentral. Lineage: Bacteria; Pseudomonadati; Pseudomonadota; Gammaproteobacteria; Thiotrichales.